Molecule: long non-coding RNA, 1237 nt
Filed under: Anser brachyrhynchus (Pink-footed goose)
Lineage: Eukaryota; Metazoa; Chordata; Aves; Anseriformes; Anatidae
Description: lncRNA (ENSABRG00000017601.1)
Source: RNAcentral
CUAAUCCAGAUGCUUCCCCGAGAUGCAGCUGAGGUGCUGGGUUAGCAGCAGUAAAACUCAACUGCGCACUUCUCUGCAGGUUGCAUUCAUCAUGCAUCUGCAGAUGUUUUUAGACAUUCCACUUCUACCCACCAGAGGGAUUUUUAAAGUUCUGGGAUAAAGGGGCAGCUUCUGGCUUUCCUUAUGCAGGAGACAGUUGUCAUGAUUAGAUGGUUAUUGUGAGUGUCCUGCAGUACAGUGAAACCUGUAUUUAUGGCCCCCUGUACUUACAGUCACCUGCUAUUGGCAGUUGCCAGUGUUAAUAGCUGAUGAAAUCCCAUUCCCUGGGAAAUGUUCUCUCUUGCAUAAUCCUUCACUCUCUAACAGGCAGCCACCUGCCUGGCACGCUUUGGCCACCUGUCGGCCUGCCCAGCUGUGUAAAUUGCAUUGCAAUCAGCAUGGCAAGGCAGCUCGAAGGAGGUACCGCUCGGUGCCUGCAGAUUACUUGUGUAACAUGUUUUCAAGUCAUUGACUUUUACAUUGCAAACAAAGUCUUUUUAUUUGACCUUUUAAAUGCUCUGUUGCAAAAUGUACAGGAGUACAGUGACAGCACAUAUGUGGAAAUUGCUUUCAUGCUGAUUUUUGGGCACUUUGUAACGCCUGCCGGAUGUUGGACAAGUCAUACAGAUAGGUACACAGAUCCCUACCUUCUCACAGGAACGCAGAGGCUUGAGUUACUGCCAGAGCACGCGAGCCAGCCACAGCUGCGCAAGGCACUGGCUCCCCGUCUGACAGCGUGGGUGAGGCUGUUCCCUGCUUCGUGGCAUCACGAAAGAGCUCCUGUGGUGGUGGGACUGCGGGAGGAAGCCCCGGCAAGGCCACGGCGGAGAGCCACUGCUCCUGAGGCAUAGGGCCUGGGGCCAGCACUGCGGGAGCUCUGCAGAGGCCUGACGGGCAGCAGCCGUUGCUUUGCUUGGGGGUACUCCGGUGUCCUGUGCCAUCCCCACGGCCAGGGGCCCUUGUCAUGUGCCAUCCCCUGGCCAGCCGUCCUGGCUGCAGCCCCAUGUCCUGUGCCAUCCCCACGGCCGGGGGCCCUGGCUGCAGCCCCAUCAUCACCAGUGGCGUGCCGACCAUUUCCUGCUUCACGCGGUUCUGAAGCGGCUGUGGCUGAGCAUUCAAAUUAUUUUUGAAGAGCUAUAUGACUACUUAGGGGCUUACGUGGCAGAAAUUAUGGAGUGAAUAAAUGAAUGACUGGUGG